GCAACUCGCCUGCAUGAAGGCGGAAUCGCUAGUAAUCGCAGGUCAGCAUACUGCGGUGAAUACGUUCCCGGGCCUUGUACACACCGCCCGUCACACCAUGGGAGUUGGCCACGCCCGAAGUCGUUACUCCAACCGUUCGCGGAGGAGGAUGCCGAAGGCAGGGCUGAUGACUGGGGUGAAGUCGUAACAAGGUAGCCGUACCGGAAGGUGUGGCUGGAUCACCUCCUUUAA
RNAcentral lists this ribosomal RNA (231 nucleotides) under Leptolyngbyaceae cyanobacterium SM1_1_3. RNAcentral describes it as "partial 16S ribosomal RNA". It matches the Rfam family "Bacterial small subunit ribosomal RNA", at positions 1307 to 1533 of the family's 1533-position model. Lineage: Bacteria; Bacillati; Cyanobacteriota; Cyanophyceae; Leptolyngbyales; Leptolyngbyaceae. The record is from RNAcentral.